RNAcentral lists this long non-coding RNA (226 nucleotides) under Physcomitrium patens. RNAcentral's name for it is "long non-coding RNA (PPAT_LNC006087)". Lineage: Eukaryota; Viridiplantae; Streptophyta; Bryopsida; Funariales; Funariaceae. The record is from RNAcentral.
UUUCAAACCUCUUACUAAGGAAGAAAAGACUUGUCAUUGUCAAGAAGGAUUGUGCUUAUAUUAUAGAGAACCUAAGCGUGCUGUUCAACAUUGUCCAAAGAAGCAAUGCAACCAUAAAAUAAGGAGUACAACUAUCAAAGAAGAUAGUAUGUCAGAAAACGAGUUUGUUCAGCUACAAUAGGGAGCAUGGAGCUGGAACCUUGUACAACACCUAGUGAAGGUCCUA